This 253-nucleotide ribosomal RNA is filed under the name uncultured bacterium. RNAcentral's name for it is "partial 16S ribosomal RNA". It matches the Rfam family "Bacterial small subunit ribosomal RNA", at positions 524 to 776 of the family's 1533-position model. The record is from RNAcentral.
UACGGAGGUCCCAAGCGUUGUUCGGAUUCAUUGGGCGUAAAGGGUGUGUAGGUGGCGCCGUAAGUCGGGUGUGAAAUCUCGGGGCUUAACUCCGAAACUGCAUUCGAUACUGCGGUGCUUGAGGACUGGAGAGGAGACUGGAAUUCAUGGUGUAGCAGUGAAAUGCGUAGAGAUCAUGAGGAAGACCAGUGGCGAAGGCGGGUCUCUGGACAGUUCCUGACACUGAGACACGAAGGCCAGGGGAGCAAACGGG